This 1568-nucleotide ribosomal RNA is filed under the name Salmonella enterica subsp. enterica serovar Typhimurium. RNAcentral describes it as "partial 23S ribosomal RNA". It matches the Rfam family "Bacterial large subunit ribosomal RNA", at positions 53 to 1576 of the family's 2925-position model. Lineage: Bacteria; Pseudomonadati; Pseudomonadota; Gammaproteobacteria; Enterobacterales; Enterobacteriaceae. The record is from RNAcentral.
AGGGCGUGCUAAUCUGCGAUAAGCGCCGGUAAGGUGAUAUGAACCGUUAUAACCGGCGAUACCCGAAUGGGGAAACCCAGUGUGAUUCGUCACACUAUCAUUAACUGAAUCCAUAGGUUAAUGAGGCGAACCGGGGGAACUGAAACAUCUAAGUACCCCGAGGAAAAGAAAUCAACCGAGAUUCCCCCAGUAGCGGCGAGCGAACGGGGAGGAGCCCAGAGCCUGAAUCAGCAUGUGUGUUAGUGGAAGCGUCUGGAAAGGUGCGCGAUACAGGGUGACAGCCCCGUACACAAAAGCGCAUGUGCUGUGAGCUCGAUGAGUAGGGCGGGACACGUGGUAUCCUGUCUGAAUAUGGGGGGACCAUCCUCCAAGGCUAAAUACUCCUGACUGACCGAUAGUGAACCAGUACCGUGAGGGAAAGGCGAAAAGAACCCCGGCGAGGGGAGUGAAAAAGAACCUGAAACCGUGUACGUACAAGCAGUGGGAGCACAGGUUUACCUGUGUGACUGCGUACCUUUUGUAUAAUGGGUCAGCGACUUAUAUUCUGUAGCAAGGUUAACCGUAUAGGGGAGCCGGAGGGAAACCGAGUCUUAAUUGGGCGUUAAGUUGCAGGGUAUAGACCCGAAACCCGGUGAUCUAGCCAUGGGCAGGUUGAAGGUUGGGUAACACUAACUGGAGGACCGAACCGACUAAUGUUGAAAAAUUAGCGGAUGACCUGUGGCUGGGGGUGAAAGGCCAAUCAAACCGGGAGAUAGCUGGUUCUCCCCGAAAGCUAUUUAGGUAGCGCCUCGUGAAUUCAUCUCCGGGGGUAGAGCACUGUUUCGGCUAGGGGGCCAUCCCGGCUUACCAACCCGAUGCAAACUGCGAAUACCGGAGAAUGUUAUCACGGGAGACACACGGCGGGUGCUAACGUCCGUCGUGAAGAGGGAAACAACCCAGACCGCCAGCUAAGGUCCCAAAGUCAUGGUUAAGUGGGAAACGAUGUGGGAAGGCCCAGACAGCCAGGAUGUUGGCUUAGAAGCAGCCAUCAUUUAAAGAAAGCGUAAUAGCUCACUGGUCGAGUCGGCCUGCGCGGAAGAUGUAACGGGGCUAAACCAUGCACCGAAGCUGCGGCAGCGAACGUAUCACCCAAGACAACUUUACGGAGUUGACGAUUGACGGAGCGAAGCGACGUCAAAGCGUUCAUUAAAGUCGAGUUGGCUUAGGGAUACGUUCGUUGGGUAGGGGAGCGUUCUGUAAGCCUGUGAAGGUGUGUCGUGAGGCAUGCUGGAGGUAUCAGAAGUGCGAAUGCUGACAUAAGUAACGAUAAAGCGGGUGAAAAGCCCGCUCGCCGGAAGACCAAGGGUUCCUGUCCAACGUUAAUCGGGGCAGGGUGAGUCGACCCCUAAGGCGAGGCCGAAAGGCGUAGUCGAUGGGAAACGGGUUAAUAUUCCCGUACUUGGUGUUACUGCGAAGGGGGGACGGAGAAGGCUAUGUUGGCCGGGCGACGGUUGUCCCGGUUUAAGCGUGUAGGUGUGUGUUCCAGGUAAAUCCGGUUCACUUUAACACUGAGGCGUGACGACGAGGCA